Molecule: unclassified non-coding RNA, 348 nt
Filed under: Hevea brasiliensis (rubber tree)
Lineage: Eukaryota; Viridiplantae; Streptophyta; Magnoliopsida; Malpighiales; Euphorbiaceae
Source: RNAcentral
AACAAUAUUUAUUUUGUUGUAUUUUGGUCACCAACAAGAUAGAACAUGGGUUCGAUUGUUGGGAUUGUAUAAGGAAAGAAACGAAAGCCUGGGUAGUUGCUACAAGUUGGUCUUGAAAUUUGAAUAUUGAAAUUGCUUUUGUAGAAUCCAAGCUUUCUUUCAAUUUCCUUCAAUUUGUUAGUGAUCAAAAAGAGUAAAAGGCUUUAGGUGAUUUGUUUAAUAAUUUUUCAUAUUAACGCUUAACACUAAAUGAUGUUUGAAGUCAUGUCAUGAUCCUUCUUUAAACUUAAUUUAUCUAAUACUUCUUUAUAACCAUUUUCCAAAUUAGAGUUGGAAAGUAUGUUCGUG